CCUACGGGGGGCAGCAGUGGGGAAUAUUGGACAAUGGGGGCAACCCUGAUCCAGCCAUGCCGCGUGUGUGAAGAAGGCCCUCGGGUUGUAAAGCACUUUCAGUGAGGAAGAACGCCUGGUGGUAAUACCCAUCAGGAAAGACAUCACUCACAGAAGAAGCACCGGCUAACUCCGUGCCAGCAGCCGCGGUAAUACGGAGGGUGCGAGCGUUAAUCGGAAUUACUGGGCGUAAAGCGCGCGUAGGUGGCUUGAUAAGCCGGUUGUGAAAGCCCCGGGCUCAACCUGGGAACGGCAUCCGGAACUGUCAAGCUAGAGUGCAGGAGAGGAAGGUAGAAUUCCCGGUGUAGCGGUGAAAUGCGUAGAGAUCGGGAGGAAUACCAGUGGCGAAGGCGGCCUUCUGGACUGACACUGACACUGAGGUGCGAAAGCGUGGGUAGCAAACAGGAUUAGAUACCCUGGUAGUC
RNAcentral lists this ribosomal RNA (464 nucleotides) under Vreelandella stevensii. Its description in RNAcentral is "partial 16S ribosomal RNA". It matches the Rfam family "Bacterial small subunit ribosomal RNA", at positions 338 to 795 of the family's 1533-position model. Lineage: Bacteria; Pseudomonadati; Pseudomonadota; Gammaproteobacteria; Oceanospirillales; Halomonadaceae. The record is from RNAcentral.